Molecule: transfer RNA, 73 nt
Filed under: Ignavibacteria bacterium RBG_13_36_8
Lineage: Bacteria; Pseudomonadati; Ignavibacteriota; Ignavibacteria
Description: tRNA-Thr
Rfam family: tRNA
About the family: Transfer RNA (tRNA) molecules are approximately 80 nucleotides in length. Their secondary structure includes four short double-helical elements and three loops (D, anti-codon, and T loops). Further hydrogen bonds mediate the characteristic L-shaped molecular structure. tRNAs have two regions of fundamental functional importance: the anti-codon, which is responsible for specific mRNA codon recognition, and the 3' end, to which the tRNAs corresponding amino acid is attached (by aminoacyl-tRNA synthetases). tRNAs cope with the degeneracy of the genetic code in two manners: having more than one tRNA (with a specific anti-codon) for a particular amino acid; and 'wobble' base-pairing, i.e. permitting non-standard base-pairing at the 3rd anti-codon position.
Source: RNAcentral
GCCAUCUUAGCUCAGUUGGUAGAGCAGCUCACUCGUAAUGAGCAGGUCACCGGUUCAAGUCCGGUAGAUGGCU